Desmophyllum pertusum is the source of this 78-nucleotide non-coding RNA. The record is from the annotation of a GenBank genome assembly. NCBI's taxonomy places the organism in Eukaryota, Metazoa, Cnidaria, Anthozoa, Scleractinia, Caryophylliidae.
GAUGCGGUGGCAUACUGGUUAGCGCGUUGGACUCCGGAUCGAGCAGUCCGGGUUCAAGUGCUGGCCGGCCGGAGGCCA